GCUGCAGUGGGGACACGCGACAGGGAAAGGCCGUCAGGCUCAGUGUGAGCCCAGAGGGCAGCUCCGCGUGACGCCCUGGGCUCCGCCCCCAGGCCCACAGCUCAGCGAGGGCAGGCGUGCUCACCGUGCUGGACCCAAAGACCCCCCCCUGUUCGCAGGCCGCCCGAAGCUCUCACGUGCAUGCAGCACGCCAACUCCAGGGCACCUCAGGGGGCUGAACCGUGUCCCUGAGAGACGUCACCAGGAACCACACAUGUGGCCUCACCUGGAGGAAGGGUCUUGCGAAUGCAACUCAAGUGUCACCACUGAACCGCCCCCAGGGCCUCAAAAUGCAAACCUAUGUGCAGAGGGAGGCUUCAAAAAGGUGACGGGAUCAUGGGGUGGGACCUGACCCUCAGGCCUGGUGUCCUUGUGCAGAGAGGCCAGUGCCCAUGCACAUGGAGUCCACGGGAAGAGGCAGGCCACUAGGGAGCCACUCCCCAGCCCUUUUUAUUUUGACACAGGGUCUCACUACAUGGCUGAGGCUGGCCUCUGACUUGUGAUCCUUCUGCCUCGGCCUCCAGAGCUGCUGGGAUGACAGGUGUGGCCCCCACGUGCGGGUGCUGCGUGGAGCUGGCUUCCCCAGCGGGCAGUUGGGGAGCUCUGCUUCUGGAGGCUAUGCCCCCACCCGGGGACCUUCAGCUGGCACUGCCUGGCAGGACUCCCAGACUGUCCACACGUGGCCAAGGGGAGUGACGUGUGGCUGGAGUCUGGUCCUGUCCCCUGGAACCUGAGCUGCGGCAGGCGGCUGUGGAAGGGCCCACCGAGCGCCUACACCCCCAGGGCAGGACCGUGCCGUCCACUCCCUUCGGGUCUUCACCUCCCUGGCAUUUCACGGUGCUCCACCUACACCAGGUGCCCGGCAGACUCCGCUUCUGUCCCCUCCACAUGCACCUGAACCCGGCCUCCCCUGCAGGCCUGCUCUCAGCUCCUCAGUGGGGUCCAGCCAGCCCUCUGCCUGGGACAGCCACCACAGUGACCACCUCACUGUGGGGUGCUGGAUGCAGGCUGCCUGACUCGCCCCGCUGACCACACCCCAAAAGGACGUGCGGACGUGCCAGGGACACCCUCGGAGCCUCAGGCACCUCCAGGCCCCCAUGCCACAUGCACUGAUCCCCAGCUAGAUGCCCUCGGAGCCCCCCAGGUGACAGAGCCCCCCAGGUGACGCCCGACAGUAAAGGCCCUGGCCCGGGUCCCUCGCCCCCCUGCUCUCUGCCCGGUGGGGCCUGUAGGGUGACCUGCCGCAGCCCCGGCCUGGGACUGGCGAACUGGCGAACUCCACUCCCUCCCACGGGUCAGAGCUGACCACAUGCCGAGCCCCGAGCUCCUGGCUCCCAAGGGCCACAGGAGUACAGACGCUCCUGUGAGAGGGACACCUGACAGGGUGGACGCCAGGCCUCAGGCUGUCUGCCAGGACGAGGUGCCGUGGAAGGCACCCUGUGGACACCGGCACACCCUCUGGGGGUCGGUGGGCAGGGCCAGCUAUGGCCACUCUCCGAGGCCACGGGGCCCAGUGCAGGGAGCCCCACCUCCCACCCGCACUGUCAUUUCAUCAAGGGACACGGGUCCUCACCUGCCAGGUGUCUACCCCCAGGGGACACAUGGCCACGAGGUCUGGGGACAGUUUUGAGUGUAUAAUUAGAAUGGGAGCAUUUAGGGCAGGAGCCUUCUCUGUGGCAAGCCACCCCAGGCCUGCAGGGUGCUCAGCACGGCCCACUCCAGGCCAGGGCACCCCGAAUCGGGACAGCCGCCUGUGUCCCUAGCAUGGCCCGGUUACCCCGGGGACAGAUGGCCCAGAAGAGAACCUGCUGCAGUGGAGAUGGUUUCCAUAGAGAAGCCACCUCACCUGCUCCCUCAGCAGCCACCGGAGGCUUCUGCGAGCCUCUCCUGGGGACAUGGUGGCUCACGGGGACCACUGCUGCUCCCAGAGGCUGAGCACGGAUCCAAAGGAUGUGCAGGAGGCAGGGGGCCUGCUCUGUGGCGGGCCGGGCUGCGAGCUCCGCGUGCUGAGGGAGGGGCACGGCCCUGAGCGGCCAAGUGCGGAGGCCAGGAGGACCCCAGAGGCCGCACGUGCUGCAGGAGGAUGGGCCGCAGGGGACAGGAGGCCACCCACAGACGCCCAAGUGUCAAGGCGUGAGGAGAAUGGGGCUAGAGGCGGCACACGGGGUGCAGAUCUCCAGGGACGGCUCAGUCACCCUCUCGGGGCACAGCCACGCUCACUCCAGGUGCCCAGAGGACAGCUGCCUGGCCAAGGACACUGAGUGCCACCGUGCGGCUCUGACGGCGGCUGGCCCUCUGCUCAGUCCGCAGCCGCGGGUGGUGGUAGUCCCACCCGCUGGCAGCCAUGACUGAGGUCCCACGCCCACACUGGCUGCUGGCGGGGUGGCCUGGGCUGGGCCUCCCUCAGAUCCUCACUGCCCCACUGCCCACGCCUGGCUCUCAGUCCCUGAGGCUGGCAGGAGGGUGGGCACUGCCCCAGGCCGGCCAGGUCCACCCCCUUACUUGCCUUUUGAUGACCUCCGUGGUCACGAAAUCCCUCCAGCCAGAAGACGUGGCCAUAGGAGCAACGGCCCUCAUUCCCCGCCCCACCCGCGGACCAGGCAGGGGGCACAUGUCCCCAGGGCUGGAUCUAGGGCCGACUGAAAAUGCCACCCUGGCACUCACAGGCUUGAAGGGACAGCCCAGCUCCAGGGACAAGAACAGGAAGUCCAGGAUGUCCACCAGGCCCUGCCCACACUGGCCCAGGGAGAAAGAGGAGCUCACCUGAGGUCACCAGGCAGGCAUGGCCAGGCCACCCGCUGCGGCCCCCUGAGGGGCUUGAACCGUGGGGCCCUGAAGGAGUGCUCGCUCGAGGAGUGGGCCACUGCAGGACCACCAGGUUGGGUGUCAUGGCAGACAGACCCUGAGACCGUCCCCAGUGCCCCAGCCUCCUGAGUGGCAGGGGGCUGGCCCUCGCUUCCCACCAGCAGGGGAGAAGGCGGCCACACUGUCACUGCAUGCUGAGCCACAGCUGGAGACUCGGGGCAGAGCCCAGCGCUCUCAGCCUGCAGCAGAGCACAUGGGCAAGGCCCCAGGCUGACGGCGGCCACGGGAGCCUGUAGGUGGAUUCCCUCCAGGACACGUCCCCACUGCUACCCUGUGGGGAGCCGCACUGCAUAACCGCACCUUCCAGUCCCGAUGCCGGGGCUCUUCCCUGUGCCCCAGGGUUGAGUUACACUCACCUGUCCCUGGUAACCCCGCCCUUUUUUGGACAGAACUUUCUAAGAACAAGAGCCCCCAGGUAAGAGCCCCUCCCACCCUGCCCCUCUCCCGCCAGUCUCCCCUGCCUUCCCGGCUCUGGUUCUCGGGGAGCCGGGGCCGAGGCCGCAGAGGCCGUCCUGAGGCUGUUGAAAGGGAACUUGUGUCUGUGUUGCAUUUGGGGUCCCUGGAGAUUCACAUGAGUGACCUGAGGUUCAGCUGCCCGUGCAGGUCGGGGGCAGCAGUCCUGGGUGACCCUGCAGCACAGGACAGUGAGGCUGUGCCCAGACUCCUGACCACAGAGACUGAGAGACAACAGCAUCUGUGGCCUGAAGACACAGGUCUGUUGUGACCUGCCACCCAGCAACAGCUGACAGACGCAGGAGCGGGAAAACAGCCACACUCGGUUCAGGACGGAGCGUCAUGCUGCCUGGAGUGGGCAGAGGGUCUGGAUACUCACCUCCCAUUGGGCUCAUCAGUCUAGUCCCAACACAGAAUCAAGGCCCCCGCUGGAGUUGGUAUCGGGGCUGGUGAACCAUCAGAGCCCCUUGGCCCCAAGGUGCCCAGGGCUCCAACUGUCAGCAGGGAGCAUUACCUUUUCCCGCACGGCAGGCAGCAGCGCAUUGAAGCACGUGGCCAGAAAGACUCCGCCUCCAAAGGUGUUGCAGAGGGAAAGAAUCUUUUUGGAGCGAUGGGCCUUCUCAAAGUCCGUCUCGAUGACCUUCACGGGGAGCAGGGAGCCCAGCAGCAUGAAGAAGAACACGCUCACCAUGCAGAGGAUCUUGGCCACUAACAACUUCAUCAUGGCGGUGGCUGGGGACGCCGUGGUCACCGAGGGCCCGGGUUAUGCAUGGGUGCACACACCCGCGCUACGGGGCCUGACCACGCGGCUGGAGGUGCAUGACGGCACUCGGCCACUGCGGACACGGGGGCAGCCACGUUGGCCUGGGGUCACCCAGGACAGUCACACCACACCCCUUACCCACCCCAGGGCUCCCGUACAUCACUCCUCCCAUGAAAAAUCUCCCUGCACUGCACCAACCAGGGCAGCCAUUGGUCACGUGUCUGUUAAUUAAAAUAAGACACGAUGCGGGGCUGGGCUGGGGCUCAGGGGCAGAGUGCUGGCCUGGCCACGUGUGAGGCGCUGGGUUCGAGCCUCAGCGUCACAUAAACAAAGUCAUAAGAAAACCCCAGAUACAACGUGAGAGCCUGCGUCCUCGGCCUUGUGCCUGUGCCCGGGAGCCUAGUGGGCUACCCAGCAGACACCUGCGCUGCUGCGGAACUCCCUGGGGCGCUGCUCCCCUGCCUUCCUGAGACUCCAGCUCUUCACCCCACGGCUGGGGUCUGCGUGACCCACUUCUGCCUCACCUCGGCCCACACCAGCUUUCCCAGGCCUCGAACGUGUCAAGCUUGUCCUGCCUCAGGGCCACUCUGCCUGGAAGACCCUUCUCCCCCAAGUUUCUCUCUUUCUUUCUUAAGCUGUGGUGGACACAACACCUUUAUUUUAUUUAUUUUUAUGUGGUGCUGAGGAUGGAACCCAGCGCCUCCCAUGUGCUAGGCGAGAACCCUCCUGCUGAGUCCCAGCCCCAGCCCUCCCCUAGAUCUCUAAGGAUGCAUCCUCGUCUUUUGGUUCACUGCUGCCCCAGGACCUCCCGGGAGGACCUCCCCUGGCCGACCCCUGCUCUAAUCCAGGUCCCUUGCACCUACCGCGAGGCCUGGCACAACAGAUGCUCGGCAACCACUGGCUGGACGGGCUGGAGCCUUGGGCCAAAGUGCAGUGGAUUCUGUCCUGGACCCAAAAAUGUCACCAUUAUUGAGUGGAGUCUCAUUUCCUUUCCCGCAAGUAGGUGCCAGCCCUUCUCAUGGCCCAGCCCUCACCUCACCCUGGCUCUAGGCUCUGCUCUGAUGUCCCUGGUCACAGCUGCCUCCUCCCUCCCCUUUUCUGGCAUUAUUUUCUUCUAUUUUGUGCACUGGGGAAACUUUAUUAAUUAAAGACAUUUAAAGGCA
Non-coding RNA from Ictidomys tridecemlineatus (thirteen-lined ground squirrel), 5283 nucleotides. NCBI's taxonomy places the organism in Eukaryota, Metazoa, Chordata, Mammalia, Rodentia, Sciuridae. The record is from RefSeq and is a predicted model, not a curated record.